This 227-nucleotide ribosomal RNA is filed under the name uncultured bacterium. Its description in RNAcentral is "partial 16S ribosomal RNA". It matches the Rfam family "Bacterial small subunit ribosomal RNA", at positions 978 to 1204 of the family's 1533-position model. The record is from RNAcentral.
CAGGCUCGAAAUGCAGAUGACCGCCGGUGAAAGCCGGUUUCCGCAAGGACAUCUGUAUAGGUGCUGCAUGGCUGUCGUCAGCUCGUGUCGUGAGAUGUUGGGUUAAGUCCCGCAACGAGCGCAACCCUUGUUCUCUGUUGCCAUCAGGUUAAGCUGGGCACUCUGAGAAGACUGCCGGUGAUAAACCGGAGGAAGGUGGGGAUGACGUCAAGUCAGCAUGGCCUUUA